AACGAACGCUGGCGGCAUGCCUAACACAUGCAAGUCGAACGAUCCCUUCGGGGAUAGUGGCGCACGGGUGCGUAACGUGUGGGAACCUGCCCUUAGGUUCGGAAUAAUUCAGAUACAUUUGAGCUAAUACCGGAUAAUGUCCUCGGACAACAUAUUUAUCGUAUUUGGAUGGGCACGCGUUGGUUUAGCUUGUUGGUGGGGUAAAGGCCUACCACGGAGUCGAUCCAUAGCUGGUCUGAGAGGAUGAGCAGCCACACUGAGACUGGGACGCGGCCGAGACUACUGCAGGAGGCAGCAAAGGGUAAUAUAGGACAAUGGGCGAAAUGCUGAUCGAGCUAUGCUGCGUGAGUGAUGAAGGCCUGAGAGUUGUGAAGCUCUUUUACCCGGGAUUAUAAUGACGGUACCGAGAGAAUAAGCCCCGGCUAACUCCGUG
RNAcentral lists this ribosomal RNA (433 nucleotides) under uncultured bacterium. RNAcentral describes it as "partial 16S ribosomal RNA". It matches the Rfam family "Bacterial small subunit ribosomal RNA", at positions 29 to 507 of the family's 1533-position model. The record is from RNAcentral.